UUAAGCGACUAAGCGUACACGGUGGAUGCCCUGGCAGUCAGAGGCGAUGAAGGACGUGCUAAUCUGCGAUAAGCGUCGGUGAGGUGAUAUGAACCGUUAUAACCGGCGAUUUCCGAAUGGGGAAACCCAGUGUGUUUCGACACACUAUCAUUAACUGAAUCCAUAGGUUAAUGAGGCGAACCGGGGGAACUGAAACAUCUAAGUACCCCGAGGAAAAGAAAUCAACCGAGAUUCCCCCAGUAGCGGCGAGCGAACGGGAGCAGCCCAGAGCCUGAAUCAGUGUGUGUGUUAGUGGAAGCGUCUGGAAAAGGCGCGCGAUACAGGGUGACAGCCCCGUACACAAAAAUGCACAUGCUGUGAGCUCGAUGAGUAGGGCGGGACACGUGGUAUCCUGUCUGAAUAUGGGGGGACCAUCCUCCAAGGCUAAAUACUCCUGACUGACCGAUAGUGAACCAGUACCGUGAGGGAAAGGCGAAAAGAACCCCGGCGAGGGGAGUGAAAAAGAACCUGAAACCGUGUACGUACAAGCAGUGGGAGCCUCUUUAUGGGGUGACUGCGUACCUUUUGUAUAAUGGGUCAGCGACUUAUAUUCUGUAGCAAGGUUAACCGAAUAGGGGAGCCGAAGGGAAACCGAGUCUUAACUGGGCGUUAAGUUGCAGGGUAUAGACCCGAAACCCGGUGAUCUAGCCAUGGGCAGGUUGAAGGUUGGGUAACACUAACUGGAGGACCGAACCGACUAAUGUUGAAAAAUUAGCGGAUGACUUGUGGCUGGGGGUGAAAGGCCAAUCAAACCGGGAGAUAGCUGGUUCUCCCCGAAAGCUAUUUAGGUAGCGCCUCGUGAAUUCAUCUCCGGGGGUAGAGCACUGUUUCGGCAAGGGGGUCAUCCCGACUUACCAACCCGAUGCAAACUGCGAAUACCGGAGAAUGUUAUCACGGGAGACACACGGCGGGUGCUAACGUCCGUCGUGAAGAGGGAAACAACCCAGACCGCCAGCUAAGGUCCCAAAGUCAUGGUUAAGUGGGAAACGAUGUGGAAGGCCCAGACAGCCAGGAUGUUGGCUUAGAAGCAGCCAUCAUUUAAAGAAAGCGUAAUAGCUCACUGGUCGAGUCGGCCUGCGCGGAAGAUGUAACGGGGCUAAACCAUGCACCGAAGCUGCGGCAGCGACACUAUGUGUUGUUGGGUAGGGGAGCGUUCUGUAAGCCUGUGAAGGUGUACUGUGAGGUAUGCUGGAGGUAUCAGAAGUGCGAAUGCUGACAUAAGUAACGAUAAAGCGGGUGAAAAGCCCGCUCGCCGGAAGACCAAGGGUUCCUGUCCAACGUUAAUCGGGCAGGGUGAGUCGACCCCUAAGGCGAGGCCGAAAGGCGUAGUCGAUGGGAAACAGGUUAAUAUUCCUGUACUUGGUGUUACUGCGAAGGGGGGACGGAGAAGGCUAUGUUGGCCGGGCGACGGUUGUCCCGGUUUAAGCGUGUAGGCUGGUUUUCCAGGCAAAUCCGGAAAAUCAAGGCUGAGGCGUGAUGACGAGGCACUACGGUGCUGAAGCAACAAAUGCCCUGCUUCCAGGAAAAGCCUCUAAGCAUCAGGUAACAUCAAAUCGUACCCCAAACCGACACAGGUGGUCAGGUAGAGAAUACCAAGGCGCUUGAGAGAACUCGGGUGAAGGAACUAGGCAAAAUGGUGCCGUAACUUCGGGAGAAGGCACGCUGAUAUGUAGGUGAAGCGACUUGCUCGUGGAGCUGAAAUCAGUCGAAGAUACCAGCUGGCUGCAACUGUUUAUUAAAAACACAGCACUGUGCAAACACGAAAGUGGACGUAUACGGUGUGACGCCUGCCCGGUGCCGGAAGGUUAAUUGAUGGGGUUAGCGGUAACGCGAAGCUCUUGAUCGAAGCCCCGGUAAACGGCGGCCGUAACUAUAACGGUCCUAAGGUAGCGAAAUUCCUUGUCGGGUAAGUUCCGACCUGCACGAAUGGCGUAAUGAUGGCCAGGCUGUCUCCACCCGAGACUCAGUGAAAUUGAACUCGCUGUGAAGAUGCAGUGUACCCGCGGCAAGACGGAAAGACCCCGUGAACCUUUACUAUAGCUUGACACUGAACAUUGAGCCUUGAUGUGUAGGAUAGGUGGGAGGCUUUGAAGUGUGGACGCCAGUCUGCAUGGAGCCGGCCUUGAAAUACCACCCUUUAAUGUUUGAUGUUCUAACGUUGGCCCCUGAUCGGGGUUGCGGACAGUGUCUGGUGGGUAGUUUGACUGGGGCGGUCUCCUCCUAAAGAGUAACGGAGGAGCACGAAGGUUGGCUAAUCCUGGUCGGACAUCAGGAGGUUAGUGCAAUGGCAUAAGCCAGCUUGACUGCGAGCGUGACGGCGCGAGCAGGUGCGAAAGCAGGUCAUAGUGAUCCGGUGGUUCUGAAUGGAAGGGCCAUCGCUCAACGGAUAAAAGGUACUCCGGGGAUAACAGGCUGAUACCGCCCAAGAGUUCAUAUCGACGGCGGUGUUUGGCACCUCGAUGUCGGCUCAUCACAUCCUGGGGCUGAAGUAGGUCCCAAGGGUAUGGCUGUUCGCCAUUUAAAGUGGUACGCGAGCUGGGUUUAGAACGUCGUGAGACAGUUCGGUCCCUAUCUGCCGUGGGCGCUGGAGAACUGAGGGGGGCUGCUCCUAGUACGAGAGGACCGGAGUGGACGCAUCACUGGUGUUCGGGUUGUCAUGCCAAUGGCACUGCCCGGUAGCUAAAUGCGGAAGAGAUAAGUGCUGAAAGCAUCUAAGCACGAAACUUGCCCCGAGAUGAGUUCUCCCUGAGACUUAGAGUCUCCUGAAGGAACGUUGAAGACGACGACGUUGAUAGGCCGGGUGUGUAAGCGCAGCGAUGCGUUGAGCUAACCGGUACUAAUGAACCGUGAGGCUUAACCUU
This 2900-nucleotide ribosomal RNA is filed under the name Escherichia coli. Its description in RNAcentral is "bacterial LSU rRNA". It matches the Rfam family "Bacterial large subunit ribosomal RNA". The record is from RNAcentral. Lineage: Bacteria; Pseudomonadati; Pseudomonadota; Gammaproteobacteria; Enterobacterales; Enterobacteriaceae.